CCGGGGUGGAGUAAUGUCUGGGAAACUGCCUGAUGGAGGGGGAUAACUACUGGAAACGGUAGCUAAUACCGCAUAACGUCGCAAGACCAAAGUGGGGGACCGUUCGGGCCUCAUGCCAUAAGAUGUGCCCAGAUGGGAUUAGCUAGUAGGUGGGGUAACGGCUCACCUAGGCGACGAUCCCUAGCUGGUCUGAGAGGAUGACCAGCCACACUGGAACUGAGACACGGUCCAG
This 232-nucleotide ribosomal RNA is filed under the name uncultured bacterium. RNAcentral's name for it is "partial 16S ribosomal RNA". It matches the Rfam family "Bacterial small subunit ribosomal RNA", at positions 104 to 334 of the family's 1533-position model. The record is from RNAcentral.